GACAGAGGGGGCGAGCGUUGUCCGGAGUCACUGGGCGUAAAGCGCGCGCAGGCGGCGACCUUAGUGUCGUGUGAAAGCCCCCGGCUCAACCGGGGGAGGCCAUGGCAAACUGGGUCGCUCGAGCUGCGGUGAGGCCCCUCGAAUUGCCGGUGUAGCGGUGAAAUGCGUAGAGAUCGGCAGGAAGACCAAGGGGGAAGCCAGGGGGCUGGCCGCAGGCUGACGCUGAGGCGCGACAGCGUGGGGAGCAAACCGG
RNAcentral lists this ribosomal RNA (253 nucleotides) under uncultured bacterium. RNAcentral describes it as "partial 16S ribosomal RNA". It matches the Rfam family "Bacterial small subunit ribosomal RNA", at positions 524 to 776 of the family's 1533-position model. The record is from RNAcentral.